UACGGAGGGUGCAAGCGUUGUCCGGAAUCACUGGGCGUAAAGGGCGCGUAGGCGGCUCAUGAAGGCUGUGGUGAAAGUCCGGGGCUCAACCUCGGAUCGGCCGUGGCGACUCGUGGGCUGGAGCACUGUAGAGGCGGGGGGAAUUCCGGGUGUAGCGGUGGAAUGCGUAGAGAUCCGGAAGAACACCAGUGGCGAAGGCGGCCCGCUGGGCAGUGGCUGACGCUGAGGCGCGACAGCGUGGGGAGCAAACAGG
RNAcentral lists this ribosomal RNA (253 nucleotides) under uncultured bacterium. Its description in RNAcentral is "partial 16S ribosomal RNA". It matches the Rfam family "Bacterial small subunit ribosomal RNA", at positions 524 to 776 of the family's 1533-position model. The record is from RNAcentral.